GUUCCCAUACCGAACACGGAAGUUAAGCUUCUCAGCGCCGAUGGUAGUUAGGGGCUGUCCCCUUGUGAGAGUAGGACGUUGCCGGGC
This 87-nucleotide ribosomal RNA is filed under the name Cytobacillus kochii. Lineage: Bacteria; Bacillati; Bacillota; Bacilli; Caryophanales; Bacillaceae. RNAcentral also lists the same sequence under 1 other name. The record is from RNAcentral.